RNAcentral lists this unclassified non-coding RNA (1018 nucleotides) under Hevea brasiliensis (rubber tree). Lineage: Eukaryota; Viridiplantae; Streptophyta; Magnoliopsida; Malpighiales; Euphorbiaceae. The record is from RNAcentral.
GAAAAUUCGACUACAGAAGCAAAAGGUGUUGAUUCAAUGUUUCCCAGAUUGAUUCAAUCGCAAGAAGAUGAAUUUAUUCAUGGCUGUGAUGUUAAUGUCGGGAUUCAUCAUCAUAAUAGGGUUAAUGGAGACCCUUGUCUUGUGUUAACUUCAGAUCCCAAACCUCGUCUUCGAUGGACUGCUGAUCUUCAUGAACGAUUCAUUGAUGCUGUUACUCAACUUGGCGGACCCAGUAAAGCUACUCCAAAGGCAAUAAUGCGGACAAUGGGAGUCAAGGGACUGACUCUCUUCCACCUAAAGAGCCACCUUCAGAAAUACCGACUAGGACUUACAGCUACGUAUUCAUUAGAAAGCCCUUGUUCUGGUGGUACUCCUCAGCAGUUGCCUGCAUCAGACUUGAAUGAAGGUUUUGAAGUCAAGGAGGCAUUGAGAGCUCAAAUGGAAGUGCAAAGUAAAUUGCACCUCCAAGUUGAAGCUGAGAAGCACUUGCAAAUUCGGCAGGAUGCUGAACAAAGAUAUAUUACCAUGCUGGAGAAGGCCUGUAAAAUGCUCGCUGAUCAAUUCAUCGGUGAUGUAGUUACUGAAAAUCACCAAGAGACUUACCAAGGACUAAAUACGAAGACACAACUUAGCCCUUUAUGUAAUCCACAUGGAUUGUGCCCCUCGGAGUCUGCUGACUUUGUUGGAGUCCAUGGUCCAGAAGACGUUUCCCCCAGAAUCCAUCCACAACGCACGGAUUGUUCCACUGAAAGCUGCUUAACUUCGCAUGAGAGCCCCGCUGGACUUCCUCUAGAAGGAUCUUCACCUGGAGGGAAAAAGCGAGGGCUUAGUGGUGAUUCAACACAAGCAUCAUAUGUUUGGGGUGAAGCAGAUAUGAGAUCAUCCGGUGUUCACGUGCUACCAGUUAAUUGCUUUGGUAUUUCUGGCUCUAAUGUUCAAAAUGUCUCUAAUUAAGAGAUUAAGCCAAGUCCGUCCAUAGUCAUUGCUUUGCACAUUGCAGUUUCUGGGAAGUCCAAUG